CCUACGGGAGGCAGCAGUGAGGAAUAUUGGUCAAUGGGCGGAAGCCUGAACCAGCCAAGUAGCGUGCGGGAUGAAGGCCCUACGAGUUGUAAACUGCUUUUGCACGGGGGUAACAGCCGCCACUUGUAUCUGUCUGCAGGUACCGUGCGAAUAAGGGCCGGCUAAUUCCGUGCCAGCAGCCGCGGUAAUACGGAGGGGUCGAGCGUUAUCCGGAUUUAUUGGGGUUAAAGGGUGCGUAGGCGGGCGGUUAAGUUAGCGGUGAAAUCCCGGGGCUCAACCUCGGCACUGCAUCUGAUACUGGACGGCUAGAGAUUAGUAGCGGUAGGCGGAAUGCGUGGUGUAGCGGUGAAAUGCAUAGAUAUCACGAGGAACACCGAUUGCGAAGGCAGCCUGCCGGGGUGCGACUGACGCUGAGGCUCGAAGGUGUGGGUAGCAAACAGGAUUAGAUACCCUUGUAGUC
This 460-nucleotide ribosomal RNA is filed under the name uncultured bacterium. Its description in RNAcentral is "partial 16S ribosomal RNA". It matches the Rfam family "Bacterial small subunit ribosomal RNA", at positions 338 to 795 of the family's 1533-position model. The record is from RNAcentral.